Sorghum bicolor (sorghum) is the source of this 896-nucleotide long non-coding RNA. RefSeq lists it as uncharacterized. The transcript has 5 exons. Lineage: Eukaryota; Viridiplantae; Streptophyta; Magnoliopsida; Poales; Poaceae. The record is from RefSeq and is a predicted model, not a curated record.
GAAGUUUCUUCAUACAUCAGGCAGUGUGAGCUAUGCUUCUGCUGCACAUAAACUGGGUCAGCAACUUGGGCGUCCUCCUCGAAGAGAUGAAGUCUAUAUAAAAACACAUACAUGAAAAAAUGGAGAGCCUUUAAGGCCAGCAACAUCAGUAAUUGAUUCCCUAAAAGAAGUUGUUGAAAUCUAUCCGGAGUUGAAGGACAAGGCAAUUCAGCAAGGUGAUGCUUUUGCUGUUGUUUGUGGAGAAAAGGAGCCAAGGGGUAGAGUCCGUUGUUUGGGUAUAGGACAAACUCCUCAAGACAUUGGUGCCCUAGGUCUGAAGGCAUACUCAUCGACAAGGCUUCAAAUACAAGUUUUGGCACGCCAAAAGGCUGAAAGUGACAAUCUAGUGCUGCGACAAAGUAUCUUGGAAAUGAAACAAAGGGAGGAGCAAAUGAUGGCACGAGAAUUUUUAAAUGUCGAAACAAACUCACAACAUGGUUCUAACUCAAGAUAACACAUGAGCCCAAGAUCUGAACUUGGUGAGGGUAAUGAACAUGUUCAUGGUGAAGAAGAUGAUGACUAUGUGGAGAAUGAAAAUUGUAAUGAGGAACCUGAUGGUGACGCCAAUCAACAUGUUGUAGCCCCUACAACCUCGCCUGCCAUGAACAUUACAACAUCAACAAGGAAUGAUGUCCAUCACUUUUCACAUGAUGCACUUGCUGAAAAUGAGGUAAUCUUAUUUGCCUCGUCGGGUAAUGAAAAAGUGGCUAAGGCAACUGUUGCUUCAGUUAAUCCAAACAAUAAGCUAGCGGGUGAAGCUCUUGGAACAAAAUAUUGUGAAGUUAUUGUGAAUGUUGUCCUUCGACGUGAAACAUUAGUGCCACGCCCUUAUGCUAAAAUCAAGACUCUAGGUGAUG